AACGAACGCUGGCGGCAUGCCUAACACAUGCAAGUCGAACGAGACCUUCGGGUCUAGUGGCGCACGGGUUCGUAACGCGUGGGAACCUGCCCUUAGGUUCGGAAUAACUCCCCGAAAGGGGUGCUAAUACCGGAUAAUGUCUUCGGACCAAAGAUUUAUCGCCUUUGGAUGGGCCCGCGUUGGAUUAGCUAGUUGGUAGGGUAAAAGCCUACCAAGGCGACGAUCCAUAGCUGGUCUGAGAGGAUGAUCAGCCACACUGGGACUGAGACACGGCCCAGACUCCUACGGGAGGCAGCAGUGGGGAAUAUUGGACAAUGGGCGAAAGCCGGAUCCAGCAAUGCCGCGUGAGUGAUGAAGGCCUUAGGGUUGUAAAGCUCUUUUACCCGGGAUGAUAAUGACAGUACCGGGAGAAUAAGCUCCGGCUAACUCCGU
This 432-nucleotide ribosomal RNA is filed under the name uncultured bacterium. RNAcentral describes it as "partial 16S ribosomal RNA". It matches the Rfam family "Bacterial small subunit ribosomal RNA", at positions 29 to 506 of the family's 1533-position model. The record is from RNAcentral.